Molecule: long non-coding RNA, 634 nt
Organism: Synchiropus splendidus (mandarinfish)
Lineage: Eukaryota; Metazoa; Chordata; Actinopteri; Syngnathiformes; Callionymidae
Exons: 5
Source: RefSeq, a predicted model, not a curated record
GUGAUUUUUCCACCACCUCCGUCUUGACAGGAAGUGAGUUAUUCUCAUGUUCACCUCCUUGAAUCUUCCACUGGGUCCAGAAGACCAAGCUUCAAUGCCAAUGUGGAAUUCACCUUCAUGCAACAAAACCUGCUCUGUGGAUCAAAGUGGACAUGGAGGUGACAGCAGAUGGAUCUCAGGAGUCUCCGCACUGGUUCUCUUUGAGCACAUGUGCUGGCGGGUGUCGGCGUCCAGCGCUGGAGCGAUGAUGUCGACGGUCGAUAUUAAACUCAUCUAUUAAAAAUUCAAGAGCGACGUCGGUCAUCUGGAAGGUGUUUCAGCUCCUUCAACAUCUCGACUCUCAGAUGUGAUCGAGGUCACUCGCAGUGAGCUGGAGUCAACCCCAGACAGACCUGGAGAAGAGGGAAGGUUUUCCGUCAUCGAUCGCCAAACUCUCCGACAUUCCUGAACUGCCGUGAGAGCUCUUACUCAGCUUUGGUCCCCUGAGGAACCGCCGAGGGUUCUUGAGUUGAGAGACGUCUUUAAGGUCGAAUGAAAAGACGUUAAUGGAACAUCGAACUCUCUCUAUGAAGACGAAGAAGUGAGGAGCAGCUGACAGUCUCUAGUCGUGUCAGACCUUCCCGGGCACCUACAC